GACGAACGCUGGCGGCGUGCUUAACACAUGCAAGUCGAACGGAAAGGCCCUGCUUUUGUGGGGUGCUCGAGUGGCGAACGGGUGAGUAACACGUGAGUAACCUGCCCUUGACUUUGGGGUAACUUCAGGAAACUGGGGCUAAUACCGGAUAGGAGCUCCUGCUGCAUGGUGGGGGUUGGAAAGUUUCGGCGGUUGGGGCUGGACUCGCGGCUUAUCAGCUUGUUGGUGGGGUAGUGGCUUACCAAGGCUUUGACGGGUAGCCGGCCUGAGAGGGUGACCGGCCACAUUGGGACUGAGAUACGGCCCAGACUCCUACGGGAGGCAGCAGUGGGGAAUAUUGCACAAUGGGCGGAAGCCUGAUGCAGCAACGCCGCGUGCGGGAUGACGGCCUUCGGGUUGUAAACCGCUUUCGCCUGUGACGAAGCGUGAGUGACGGUAAUCGGUAAAGAAGCACCGGCUAACUACGUG
RNAcentral lists this ribosomal RNA (468 nucleotides) under uncultured bacterium. Its description in RNAcentral is "partial 16S ribosomal RNA". It matches the Rfam family "Bacterial small subunit ribosomal RNA", at positions 28 to 507 of the family's 1533-position model. The record is from RNAcentral.